This is a long non-coding RNA of Nicotiana attenuata, 669 nucleotides long. RefSeq lists it as uncharacterized. Lineage: Eukaryota; Viridiplantae; Streptophyta; Magnoliopsida; Solanales; Solanaceae. The record is from RefSeq and is a predicted model, not a curated record. The transcript is spliced from 2 exons.
AAGAGUAUACCUUAUGUUUCUUCUUGCUCUCAAGAUCUGUUUGUGUUCUUUCUGCAAUUAAUUUUGCACAGAUGUUCUUCUUUUUCCUUUAUUCAAUGGUUGUAGAAUCCAUUCAUCUUCAACCUCAGAUUUCAUCUUUUGUAUCUCUCUUUUUUCCCUUUUACCAGAAGCUUAAUAGUUUCCCAUUGUUGAUCUUCUCUUUUUUAGAGCCUAAAUGCUUCUCUAUCUCAGCCAGAUACUGACACUGAUCUGGCUGAUGAGCCAACUUAAGAAGAAGAAAUUUUUUUUGGGUAUAGCCUUACAUUGCUUAAUAAAGUUUGGAGUUCUUUCUCUUCCAAUGUUCCUUUUCUUCAAUUUCAUCUCCUCUCUUCUGCUCUUUCAUGGCUCUGUCACGGUAAACUACUGCUGAUUUCUGAAUAACAGGAACGAGAUUCGAGUUUUUGCACCAUCUACAUAAAGGCUUCAAUUAUUGGGUUUUAGCUCAGGAAGAUGCCAACUUGGAAAAAGAGAAGUACAAAAUACAAAAUAAAAGAAAGGUAGCAAGAAACAUAGUUUCAAACUUCCAUAUGCUGCUUUAUAUUCAAGAGUCGACAUUUUGUUCAUUUACGUAUGUAAAUAAUAUCCAACAAUUAGUAUAUUUUGUCCUCUUUAUCCCAUUUGGUGCUCAUU